Molecule: signal recognition particle RNA, 300 nt
Filed under: Callithrix jacchus (white-tufted-ear marmoset)
Lineage: Eukaryota; Metazoa; Chordata; Mammalia; Primates; Cebidae
Description: Metazoan signal recognition particle RNA (ENSCJAG00000075783.1)
Rfam family: Metazoan signal recognition particle RNA
About the family: The signal recognition particle (SRP) is a universally conserved ribonucleoprotein. It is involved in the co-translational targeting of proteins to membranes.
Source: Rfam by way of RNAcentral
GCCGGGCGUGGUGGCGCAUGCCUAUAGUCCCAGCUACUCGGAAGGCUGAGGUGGGAGGAUCGCUUGAGCCCAGGAGUUCUGAGCUGUAGUGCGCUAUGCCAAUUGGGUGUCCGCACUAAGUUCGGCAUCAAUAUGGUGACCUCCUGGGAGCGGGGGACCACCAGGUUGCCUAAGGAGGGGUGAACCAGCCCAGGUCAGAAACAGAGCAGCUCAAAACUCCCGUGCUGAUCAGUAGUGGGAUCGCACCUGUGAAUAGCCACUGUACUCCAGCCUGGGCAACAUAGCGAGACCCCCAUCUCU